ACUUCUCCUGAACAAUUCAUCUUUGUAUUUGUUUUUCCAUUUCCAUAAAAGGAAUCUGACAUUGUUUGGUUGAAAGUUGGACUUGACAUUUUUUUGAGUGGGCAAGAAGAAAGUGGAAGAACAGGUAAAUUCUGACAAUUGCAAAUUUCAAUCAUAUUGCCAUCUGGGUCAUGAAAAAAGAGUUGAUCCACUGUAACUCCACCUUCUUUAACAGUAGCAG
RNAcentral lists this unclassified non-coding RNA (220 nucleotides) under Hevea brasiliensis (rubber tree). The record is from RNAcentral. Lineage: Eukaryota; Viridiplantae; Streptophyta; Magnoliopsida; Malpighiales; Euphorbiaceae.